UAUGAGCUGUACGACUGGCGGAAAGCAUAUUAUACAGAGCUUUUAAUUGGUUAAAGUUAUGGAAUAUGUGUGGGAUUACCCACAGGGAGUACAGUAUAUAUAUGAUUAUCAGCCGACCGCCUGGGCAGCCCCU
This 133-nucleotide non-coding RNA is filed under the name Eubacterium sp. RNAcentral describes it as "ZTP sequence". It matches the Rfam family "ZMP/ZTP riboswitch aptamer (pfl RNA motif)". From Rfam's summary of the family: Previously known as pfl RNA. ZMP is also known as AICAR. Lineage: Bacteria; Bacillati; Bacillota; Clostridia; Eubacteriales; Eubacteriaceae. The record is from RNAcentral.